ACGGGCGGUUACCGUCGGACUGCCGGAGAAGGCGCCUGAGAGAUAGCGACUAUAUCCACGGGUAGCAGCAGGCGCGAAACUUUCCCACUCGAGACUUUCGGAGGAGGUAAUGACCAGUUCCAUUGGUGCCUUUUGGUACUGUGGAUAGGGGUACGGUUUUCCACCGUACCGAAACCUAGCAGAGGGCCAGUCUGGUGCCAGCAGCUGCGGUAAUUCCAGCUCUGCGAGUUUGCUCCCAUAUUGUUGCAGUUAAAACGCCCGUAGUCUGAAUUGGCCAGCAAUGGUCGUACGUAUUUUUACGUUCACUGUGAACAAAUCAGGACGCUUAGAGUAUGGCCACAUGAAUGACUCAGCGCAGUAUGAAGUCUUUGUUUUCUUCCGAAAACAAGCUCAAUGAGAGCCAUCGGGGGUAGAUCUAUCUCAUGACGAGUGGUGGAAUACUUUGACUCAUGAGAGAGAAGCUGAGGCGAAGGCGUCUACCUAGAGGGUUUCUGUCGAUCAAGGGCGAGAGUAGGAGUAUCCAACAGGAUUAGAGACCCUGGUAGUUCCUACCUUAAACGAUGCCGACAGGAGUUUGUCAUUUGUUAAUGGCAGAAUCUUUGGAGAAAUCAUAGUUCUUGGGCUCUGGGGGAACUACGACCGCAAGGCUGAAACUUGAAGGAAUUGACGGAAGGGCACACCAGGGGUGGAGCCUGUGGCUUAAUUUGAAUCAACACGGGGAAACUUACCAGGACCAGAUGUUUUUUAUGACUGACAGGCUUCGGGUCUUUCAGGAUAUUGUUUUUGGUGGUGCAUGGCCGUUGGUGGUGCGUGGGUUGACCUGUCUAGCGUUGAUUCAGCUAACGAGCGAGAUUAUCGCCAAAUUAUUUACUUUGCCGAAGUUCCUUCGGUAAAG
This 895-nucleotide non-coding RNA is filed under the name Trichomonas vaginalis G3. RNAcentral's name for it is "Eukaryotic small subunit ribosomal RNA". It matches the Rfam family "Eukaryotic small subunit ribosomal RNA", at positions 362 to 1383 of the family's 1831-position model. Lineage: Eukaryota; Parabasalia; Trichomonadida; Trichomonadidae. The record is from Rfam by way of RNAcentral.